This 722-nucleotide ribosomal RNA is filed under the name uncultured bacterium. RNAcentral's name for it is "bacterial SSU rRNA". It matches the Rfam family "Bacterial small subunit ribosomal RNA", at positions 68 to 762 of the family's 1533-position model. The record is from RNAcentral.
GCUUCUUUUUCACCGGAGCUUGCUCCACCGGAAAAAGAAGAGUGGCGAACGGGUGAGUAACACGUGGGUAACCUGCCCAUCAGAAGGGGAUAACACUUGGAAACAGGUGCUAAUACCGUAUAACAAUCGAAACCGCAUGGUUUUGAUUUGAAAGGCGCUUUCGGGUGUCGCUGAUGGAUGGACCCGCGGUGCAUUAGCUAGUUGGUGAGGUAACGGCUCACCAAGGCCACGAUGCAUAGCCGACCUGAGAGGGUGAUCGGCCACAUUGGGACUGAGACACGGCCCAAACUCCUACGGGAGGCAGCAGUAGGGAAUCUUCGGCAAUGGACGAAAGUCUGACCGAGCAACGCCGCGUGAGUGAAGAAGGUUUUCGGAUCGUAAAACUCUGUUGUUAGAGAAGAACAAGGAUGAGAGUAACUGUUCAUCCCUUGACGGUAUCUAACCAGAAAGCCACGGCUAACUACGUGCCAGCAGCCGCGGUAAUACGUAGGUGGCAAGCGUUGUCCGGAUUUAUUGGGCGUAAAGCGAGCGCAGGCGGUUUCUUAAGUCUGAUGUGAAAGCCCCCGGCUCAACCGGGGAGGGUCAUUGGAAACUGGGAGACUUGAGUGCAGAAGAGGAGAGUGGAAUUCCAUGUGUAGCGGUGAAAUGCGUAGAUAUAUGGAGGAACACCAGUGGCGAAGGCGGCUCUCUGGUCUGUAACUGACGCUGAGGCUCGAAAGCGU